GCAAACAGAAGAAUGACUUUCAGCUUUUAUUGGAAAGUUGCACACAAGACUGAUCGCCAUUGAACACACUGUACACAACAUUGAAUAAUGGCAUUCACACUUUCGAAUUUGUCAUGUCUAAUGCUUUUUCUCAGGUAAUAAAAGGACCAUAAAGCUCUGAUGUAUGAGCUGCUCGGACACUGAGAUAUUUUAAGAUUAUUCAACAAGGAAACAGCAGUGAACUAGGCUCCAACACCUUGUGAAGUUUAAUGAAUCUAUUCAACUAGUGUCAGCCACAUCAAUAAAUAAUUUAAUAAGAAACCAUCAUCUAUGAAGGAGAAUGCAGUUCAAACAAUGAUAGAGGAACUGACCAGACCAAGAUCAACAUUAUGAGGGAGACAAUGUAAAACAGAC
This 393-nucleotide long non-coding RNA is filed under the name Heterocephalus glaber (naked mole-rat). RNAcentral's name for it is "lncRNA (ENSHGLG00000042628.1)". Lineage: Eukaryota; Metazoa; Chordata; Mammalia; Rodentia; Bathyergidae. The record is from RNAcentral.